This 986-nucleotide long non-coding RNA is filed under the name Mytilus galloprovincialis (Mediterranean mussel). Lineage: Eukaryota; Metazoa; Mollusca; Bivalvia; Mytilida; Mytilidae. The record is from RNAcentral.
GUGGCAUUGAGGUUUUAACUUAUUCGGAUGUGUUGCAUUUUGUCGGGUUAUGUGAUGUAUUUCGGUUGUUUCCUGUCAUUAGUUAAUACUUCAGUUUUAUCAUGUACAUCUUUUGUAUAGUCAUUUUAUAAAAUUUGCUGUUUGCAAAAGUAUAAAUUAUUCUAAAUAAUAGGGAUGUUCUAGUACCUAACAGAAAACACUGGCCAUUUUUGGCACACAUUUUUUGAACUUUUGGUCCUCGAUGCUGUUCAACUUUGUACUUGUUUCGGCUUUCAAACUUUUGUAUCUGGGCGUCACUAGUAAGUCUUGUGUGGACAAAAUGCACUUCUGGCGUAUUAAAAAUUUUAAACUUGUUGCCUUUUGUUAGCUAUUAUUCGUGUGUUUCUUGGUCAAUUGUGUUCUCCUAUUUAUUUAUAUUUCAGUCCUCUAAUGUUGUGUUGUCAUUUUAAUAUUACAUUUCACAUGGCCAUAAAAAUUGUCCUGUACCAAAUCAGGAAUAUGGCCAUUGUUAUAUUAUAGUUCGUUUCUGUGUGUAUUACAUUUUAACGUUGUGUCGUUUGUUUUCUUUUAUUUUUUAGUGUGAAUUCACAUUACUAUAAGACGUGUCACAGUACUUAUCUAUCCCAAGUUCAUGUAUUUAGUUUUGAUGUUAUAUUUGUUAUUGUCAAAUGCUUUGUCCGUUUCUGUGUGUGUGUGUGUGUGUGUGUGUGUGUGUGUGUUACAUUUUAAUGGUGUGUCGUUGUUCUCCUAUUAUAUUUAAUGCGUUUCCCUCAGUUUCAGUUUGUUACCCCGAUUUUGUUUUUUGUCCAUGGAUUUAUGAGUUUUGAACAGCGGUAUACUACUGUUGCCUUUAACUAGAUAUAAACCAGAUGUCGGUAGUAUCUUUAAUUUCAAGUUCACUUGGAUAUACUAAAUGUAAGUGAUUACUGAAUCUAUUAUUAUAAAGAGACAGAACAUCAUCAAUAUACCGAAAGGUGAAAUUAAAA